Molecule: long non-coding RNA, 626 nt
Organism: Acanthopagrus latus (yellowfin seabream)
Lineage: Eukaryota; Metazoa; Chordata; Actinopteri; Spariformes; Sparidae
Exons: 3
Source: RefSeq, a predicted model, not a curated record
AUUCAUUCAGGACACACACACGCACACACUCACACACACCGUGGACCCGCCGUCAAGCUAGCUACGGAGCUAACAGCACCACAUCCGGUCAGCCCCUUCAGAGUAAAACCAAAAGUGGGCGUGUGGGGGCUACUUCCGGGCAUUACCAAGAGGGGAUUCCACACGCAUAUACAAACUGCUGGUCGGGGACCUCAACCUGCUGUGUAUCGGCUGUCUGCUGAUGUGGUGCAGCUCCACCAACAGCAUGGCAUUACAUGAACCCAAACUGAGACGUCCACCUUAAAUAUAGAGCGAUGCCUCCACUCACUGAACAGAUGACUGACAGCAGAGUUCAACUAAUGGAGACUGAAAACACACUGAAUCAGAAUCACUGUGACUUUACUGCAUCAAAAGAGAGAAGAAAAAGUACAUUUACAGUAUUUUGGAUUUGAUAUACUUUUUUCAUUACAAACAUUUUAAAUAUGUUAUAAACCAUAUUUGAUUUCAUUGCUUGGAAAUUUCAAAUUUUUCUUAAAAUUAUGAAGUUUUUGGAUCUGAAGAAAUAAACAUGCAGUUUUUAAUUGAUUUGUUUAUUUGUGCCCAUCUUUUAUUUGGUUCUUCAUGGUCUCUCUCUCUCUCUCUCUCUC